This 65-nucleotide transfer RNA is filed under the name Ichneutes sp. QL-2013. RNAcentral's name for it is "tRNA-Arg". Lineage: Eukaryota; Metazoa; Arthropoda; Insecta; Hymenoptera; Braconidae. The record is from RNAcentral.
GAUUAAGAAACAAUAAAUUGUUUUCAAUUUCGACUUGAACUUUAAGAAAUUAUUUUCUCUUAAUU